AAUCAGGUACACAUAGCUUGUGAAUAGUAAUAGUUCAGAGUAGGUGGUGGCUUAGAAGAUCGUUGCAGCGGGUGGUUUCGUGGCGUUGAAGUAGAGCUGGUUACUGCUGCUGGCCUGACUUAAACUUGGUGGUUGUGCAAACAAUGGUUUGUUAGUUAUUAGUAUAAAAAUUAUAAGUAGAGAUAGUCCAGUUCUUGAAGGAGAAUUAUACAGUGAAAAGUACUUUUGGGGUAAGGGGGUUAAAGUUUGGUUUAUUUAGUUGUUGGUAAACUAUGUACAGU
RNAcentral lists this unclassified non-coding RNA (281 nucleotides) under Hevea brasiliensis (rubber tree). Lineage: Eukaryota; Viridiplantae; Streptophyta; Magnoliopsida; Malpighiales; Euphorbiaceae. The record is from RNAcentral.